Anguilla anguilla (European eel) is the source of this 469-nucleotide long non-coding RNA. RefSeq lists it as uncharacterized. NCBI's taxonomy places the organism in Eukaryota, Metazoa, Chordata, Actinopteri, Anguilliformes, Anguillidae. The record is from RefSeq and is a predicted model, not a curated record. The transcript has 3 exons.
GCCCUGGAGCGGCGUACGGCCAAGUACAUAGACCCAUUAUACACCAAAUUGGUGUGAUGCGAAUGGGUCAGACGCUGGUUGGCUGAACUGGUGUUUAAUUUUCCGUGUCAACCCCAGGUAUUACGUGUGAAAGAGGUUCGGGGGUACACAACCGUCUGUGGAGACUCCAGCCUGCAUCUGAAGAUCUUGGCCUACACAUGAAUCCGACAUCCAGGAGCCCUACCUGAACCCAGACAGCCCGGACCUCAGACACCUGUGGAACUCUGUCGUCGUUGUGGCAGAAGCUCAUGAGACAGACUGCAGUCCCCUCCCUGGGUAAGGACACACCUGUUGCACAGAGACAGGGUUCCAGCUAAGUUCUGGAUGGUGGUGCGUGUGCUCAUAUGUGAGUGUGUUAGUGUCUGUGGUUGCUGGGUUUGUGGGAUUGUGCUUGCUUGUGUGUAUAUUUAUGUGUGUGUGUGUGUGUGUG